This 468-nucleotide ribosomal RNA is filed under the name uncultured bacterium. RNAcentral's name for it is "partial 16S ribosomal RNA". It matches the Rfam family "Bacterial small subunit ribosomal RNA", at positions 28 to 507 of the family's 1533-position model. The record is from RNAcentral.
GACGAACGCUGGCGGCGUGCUUAACACAUGCAAGUCGAACGGAAAGGCCCUGCUUUUGUGGGGUGCUCGAGUGGCGAACGGGUGAGUAACACGUGAGUAACCUGCCCUUGACUUUGGGAUAACUUCAGGAAACUGGGGCUAAUACCGGAUAGGAGCUCCUGCUGCAUGGUGGGGGUUGGAAAGUUUCGGCGGUUGGGGAUGGACUCGCGGCUUAUCAGCUUGUUGGUGGGGUAGUGGCUUACCAAGGCUUUGACGGGUAGCCGGCCUGAGGGGGUGACCGGCCACAUUGGGACUGAGAUACGGCCCAGACUCCUACAGGAGGCAGCAGUGGGGAAUAUUGCACAAUGGGCGGAAGCCUGAUGCAGCAACGCCGCGUGCGGGAUGACGGCCUUCGGGUUGUAAACCGCUUUCGCCUGUGACGAAGCGUGAGUGACGGUAAUGGGUAAAGAAGCACCGGCUAACUACGUG